This 152-nucleotide ribosomal RNA is filed under the name Ptychostomum arcticum. Its description in RNAcentral is "5.8S ribosomal RNA". It matches the Rfam family "5.8S ribosomal RNA". Rfam says of the family: 5.8S ribosomal RNA (5.8S rRNA) is a component of the large subunit of the eukaryotic ribosome. The record is from RNAcentral. Lineage: Eukaryota; Viridiplantae; Streptophyta; Bryopsida; Bryales; Bryaceae.
ACUCUCAGCAACGGAUAUCUUGGCUCCUGCAACGAUGAGGAACGCAGCGAAAUGCGAUACGUAGUGUGAAUUGCAGAAUUCCGCGAAUCAUCGAGUUUUUGAACGCAAGUUGCGCCCGAGGCUUGUCCGAGGGCAUUUCCGCUAGAGCGUCA